This is a long non-coding RNA of Hemicordylus capensis (graceful crag lizard), 4375 nucleotides long. RefSeq lists it as uncharacterized. The transcript has 2 exons. Lineage: Eukaryota; Metazoa; Chordata; Lepidosauria; Squamata; Cordylidae. The record is from RefSeq and is a predicted model, not a curated record.
GCAAGAAUGACAUAUGGCCAGAGAUGUUCUCUGUGCCCCUUGCUGCAAUUAAUCUUUCUGUUCUUUUGAUUAAUUGCUGACAUAUACUGGAUCACUCCCCAUUUAUGACCUCAUAGCUUUCUCUGUCCCUCAGCAGUGUACCAACUGGUUCUCUAUGACAUACACAGAAAUACCAGGGCCCAUCCAUUUUCAGGUCAUCUUAAAUUCAGAUUCAUCUUCUAUUUGGGUAAAUAUGGUACAUUAAAGGCUCCAAGGUUCAGGGGAAUAUUUUUGGGCGGUGCAGCAGCUGCAGAAGCAAGGUAAAACACCUCUCCCCACCCACCACAUGCUCUGCCACAGUCUUAGUCUGGGAUGCAGCAACACUACCACCACCGCCGCCCUGGUGCUUUGUUCGUCAGUAUGUUAGCCAAUGCCCUUCUUGAUUAAAAGGCUCGUAAAUCUAGGAGACAAACACACGUUUUAUCAUGAAAGGACUCCCUUUUAGAUGUGUGGGGAUACUAAAUUGAAGCAAUGUAACAUUUUAAAUAUCUUCACACAAUUUAUUGAAGAGAUAAUGUUGCAGGAAGGAGUUCUUUCAAUUAUUUUAGUGAUCAAAUCAUCCCCAUUUUUUCACAAAAACAAAUAAUGGGCAAAUAUAUUUGUAUUGUGCUUAGCUUUUACAUGAGAAUCAAGUAGUCCAGUAAUCCUUUUCUGUACAAAAUAUUUACAACAUUGUUAUGCACAUUUACAAUAUAAUGUAUACAUUAUUUAAUUAAAAAAGCAACGCUUUAAUUAACAACAAACCAUGGUUUUGGAUUUAAUCAACAAUAUUAAGCACAAUGUUAGGAUCUAACUGGAACAGAGGGGAGGGGUGGGUGGGUGUUCUAUCACUUGAAAUCCAGUGGAGAGAAUGUACAGAGAUUGCAUCAAUAUUUUGAUCACAUUUCAAAAUGAAGGCAACUACUGUAUAUCUACCACACUGCAAUCUGGGGAAUUUACAUGCAGAUGAAAAUUAAGCAAAAUAUAUAUUGGAUUUCAUUGAGAAGUGUCUUGUUAUAUACAUCCUUAUGAAUAUUUCAGGUUAGACACUGGAUGCACAAUUUACAUGGCAGCAUAACUGCACUUAAGCCAGCCUAGCUGCAAAUGGCUUAAGUAGAACAUGCUGCAUAUUAAUCCACAGGCAAAGCUCCGAUACCACUCCUAUAAAAAUGUUGUGAGCAAUUUGUGUUGAUCCAGACCCAGACGGGUCAAUAAUGCUCUUCUCUCUGGCAAGAAAAACCCUUACCACUAGAGGGGGUAACCGGCAACAGGCAGGUGCUGACUCACUACCAGUCACGCUCCUGACCUGGCAGCUGAAAAACCUGAAAUGAUAAGUCUGAAUGUGCUCAGAGCUGUCAUUUUCUGGUGAGACUCCGUAGUAGUUUUAUUUACCCAGAGAAACUACAUUUCCCCUGAUCCCAAGAGAUGAUGGUCCUUCCCAAGCAUGUUCAGAAUAGCAAUUUCUAUUGCUGCAGUCAGGCUGCCUGACAAUAAGCUUGGCCCCCACACCAAACAAUAAGGUGGCAUCUCAAAAUAUGCCACCUGAGACUCUACCAGAGGUCCCGAAGAGUAUUUGCUAAACUCCAGAUUAUUAGAGAGGCGAGGGGAUUAUCACCUAUUCCUAGAAGUGGUACUCAUUAAUUAUUAUUAAUAAUAAAUAAUAAUAAUGCUUCUGGAACUUUCUUGCACCUUGAGUCCCAGUCCCAUAUUUGUAUAUAUAAUAUUCAUCUCUAAUACUUCAUCUGGUUUGGCACUCCUGGAAUAAUUUCAGCACAAUUCCUAUUCUAACAUUGCACAGGUCUCCUUCACCUCGUACUUGACAGAUGGUCCUAUACUGCAGCAAUAAACCUCACAGAUGUAUGAAGUUCUGCUACCUAAAAUGAACUGACGUCUUAAGCCAUCUUUAAAUAUCCUCCCUCUGGAUGCUCCAACCAUCUGCUAUGAGGCUAGCAAUGCCUGGAGAUGGGGGCUUUCUCUGCUGUGACAACCUAUUUAUAGAAUUAUUUCCUCAGGGAGACCUGCCUGGCACCUCUUCUGAUGCUCAUUUGGCACCCAAUAAACACAAUAAUAAAGAACAUUAAAUCCUGCAGAAGGACCAGGGGGAUGUGUGGGGAUGUGGCAAGCUCCACCCCCACUGCAGACACAACCAAUGGCGAGCCCAGAUGAGGUGACACGUGCAAGGGUGGGAGGGAGGAGCGUGUGCCAGGAGGAGUUUGGCGAGACUCCACAGGGGUCGUGGCUGAGGAAGGUUGCAGCUGAGGGAGGUGAACGGUUGACCAGCUGAGGGAUGACAAGCAAGGAGAAGAGGCGCCUUCGGGAGUCGCUGGGCUGCCCGACGGCUGACACGCACCGGCCUGCCACCCGGUGAGGUGAGAGGCUCUGUGUGGGGUCAGCAGGAGGUGGGGGGAGGGCAAGGGAGACGGGAGGGGAAUGGGAGACUAGGGCAGAAGGAGCUGUACUGUCACACAGAUGCUCUGUCCCACGCAUGCCCCUGGUCCAUCUACAGGAAUUAAUAAUAUAGAAGAUUUAUUCUCCCAGGUUUUUUGCUCUUGAUAUUAUUUUUAUGCUGCUGUGUUUUUAUUUCUGCUAUUUUGUCAUGUUAGGAUUUUUAAUUAUUUAAGUUUUAUCUUGCAAGCUACUCUGGGAGUGACUUACAUUGGAAUAUGUGGUACAGAAGCAUGAAAAUAAGUUUGGUAUGGGAAAGUCAUAGCCAUAUUACUUUGCCAUUACUUGCAUGAGCUAUAAGGCUCUUGAAUAGGCGGGGCAUGCAUGAAAAAGUGAGAAGUUAAAGUGAGAUUUGUCAUGAAGAAUCCAGCCACUCUUUGCUGUUAAAUGGUUUCACUUCCUUCUUUCCUGCUCUCAGCAAUGCACAACACAGUUUGCCAAUACAGAGAUAGCUUACACUAGACAAUGAAAUGUACUAUACAGAGAAAUCCCUAGAUGACACAUGCAAGUGAGGUAAGACUUAAUUUGAACAUAAACUUGCUAAUAACUCUUGAUCCAAUUAGAAUGUCACCACUUCAGCUUCGUUGAGUGAGCAACUAACAGCAUACCACUCAAAGUGGCAUGCUACCAAAAAUAGUUCAUUCAUUUAAUUGCAAUGACCAUAAUUUCAGUUGAUUAGCAGUUAUGUCAGAGAUCAAGUGUUAUGUCAUGAUAAUUUCACAUUGCCUUUUAGUAACACUCGAUUCCUUGUAACAUGGUAGAUAUUGUCACUCUCAAAAACAGCCACUUUGUUAGAAAAGUGUGCAAUUACACCUUUCCGAUGUUAUGUUGGCAGGUCAUUUGGACACAUACUAUUUUCUUCAGAAUCAUUGUUCCACUUCUCAUUAUUGUAUCUUGAGAGGAAUAAGUUUUCUAGCUGAGCCAAGAAUUCUUCAGCAAUGAAACUAUUUGCCACAUUGUCCAGAGUCUUCCUCAUACACUCCAAUAGCUAGUUUAAAGUUGAAGGACAAACAAACACACACUGUGUAAAUGACACAGGAAGAAAAACAACCAGAAAUAUAUAGUGACUUUAGACAGAAAGGCUUUAACUAUUUAUGUUACACUUAAGGCAGUGUUCUUUGUGGCAAGAGCCAGUAGGGGCUCCCAUCAGCCCUAAGUGUGAUUCCCUGACUACUUGUUUAUUAAGUCUGUGCAAAACUUCAGUCAAAGCCAAAUAUUUCACACAGCUCCCAUGGCAUCAUGCAGAAGAGACUGUGCAGUCUACAUUUUCCCCAGCACUGGUGGGACUCCUUUAAGGGAAAUGGACUCUCUCAAGCUCCAGUGUCAUGGAAGAUACACAUGGAGGUGUCCUUCCCGGUGCCUUCCCCAUAGAGCUCUAAGAGGAAAGUGCUGGGAUACUUCCCACCAGUCCAUACACCUUCUAAGAUGGCACUGGGGUUUAACAGGACUCCAUUUCUCUUAAGAGAAACAGUGGCACUGGGGAAACUCCGCAGUGGCACUGGGGGAAACCCCAGGACGUGCAGAGGUCAGCACAGUGGGAAAGGGUUGUCACUCUGAAAGGUUUUUGCUAAAGUGGCUCCACACUUGAAAAAUAGUGAAGAUCACUGGAGUAAGGGAUCCUUUUCACUGAAGCCAACUGCUGAAUGGAAUAGAAAUGAAGGAAGGAUCCCAUGGUACUUUAACAAGUUUGAACUUCACAUUCUACUACAAAAUGUAAUUCUACAUAUGCAUUAUGUCAAGCAUUACAGAUAUACAAUGUUUUUGUGUUUUUUUACACAGAGAAAUAAUCUUCUCACAAAUAUCAAUAGCUUUGCAAACAUUCUUCAUGAACAUGCAUGUAAGAACAAAACAAAAUAGCCACUCUAAUUCAUAAAUGCCUCUUUCUACAGUCUAAUAAAAUUAUUUCACACUA